CUGAUACUGCCCAAGAGUCCAUAUCGACGGCAGUGUUUGGCACCUCGAUGUCGGCUCAUCUCAUCCUGGGGCUGGAGCAGGUCCCAAGGGUACGGCUGUUCGCCGUUUAAAGAGGUACGUGAGCUGGGUUUAGAACGUCGUGAGACAGUUCGGUCCCUAUCUGCCGUGGGUGUAGGAUACUUGAGAGGAGUUGCCCCUAGUACGAGAGGACCGGGGUGAACGAACCACUGGUGGACCAGUUGUCGUGCCAACGGCAGUGCUGGGUAGCUAUGUUCGGACAGGAUAACCGCUGAAGGCAUCUAAGCGGGAAGCCCCCCUCAAAACAAGGUAUCCCUGAGGGCCGAGGUAGACCACCUCGUCAAUAGGCCAGAGAUGUAAGCGUGGUAACACGUUCAGUUGACUGGUACUAAUCGCCCGAUUGGCUUGAUC
This 429-nucleotide ribosomal RNA is filed under the name Roseobacter sp. MED193. RNAcentral's name for it is "bacterial LSU rRNA". It matches the Rfam family "Bacterial large subunit ribosomal RNA", at positions 2482 to 2925 of the family's 2925-position model. The record is from RNAcentral. Lineage: Bacteria; Pseudomonadati; Pseudomonadota; Alphaproteobacteria; Rhodobacterales; Roseobacteraceae.